UACGUAGGGGGCAAGCGUUAUCCGGACUCACUGGGCGUAAAGGGAGCGCAGGCGGCACGGCAAGUCUGGUGUGAAAACCCGGGGCUCAACCCCGGGACUGCAUUGGAAACUGCCGGGCUGGAGUGUCGGAGGGGUAAGCGGAAUUCCUAGUGUAGCGGUGAAAUGCGUAGAUAUUAGGAGGAACACCAGUGGCGAAGGCGGCUUACUGGACGAUGACUGACGCUGAGGCUCGAAAGCGUGGGGAGCAAACAGG
RNAcentral lists this ribosomal RNA (253 nucleotides) under uncultured bacterium. RNAcentral's name for it is "partial 16S ribosomal RNA". It matches the Rfam family "Bacterial small subunit ribosomal RNA", at positions 524 to 776 of the family's 1533-position model. The record is from RNAcentral.